RNAcentral lists this transfer RNA (77 nucleotides) under Alphaproteobacteria bacterium. RNAcentral's name for it is "tRNA-His". It matches the Rfam family "tRNA". From Rfam's summary of the family: Transfer RNA (tRNA) molecules are approximately 80 nucleotides in length. Lineage: Bacteria; Pseudomonadati; Pseudomonadota; Alphaproteobacteria. The record is from RNAcentral.
GCGGGUGUAGCUCAGUCGGUUAGAGCGCUAGAUUGUGGAUCUAGAGGUCGGGGGUUCGAUUCCCCUCACUCGCCCCA